This 107-nucleotide small nuclear RNA is filed under the name Myotis brandtii (Brandt's bat). Lineage: Eukaryota; Metazoa; Chordata; Mammalia; Chiroptera; Vespertilionidae. The record is from RNAcentral.
GUGCUCAUUUCAGUAGCACACAUACUAAAAUUGGAAUGAUACAGAGAAGAUUAGCAUGACCCCUGCACAAGGAUGACACGCAAAUUCGUGAAGCGUUCCAUUAAAAA